Molecule: non-coding RNA, 129 nt
Organism: Arachis ipaensis
Lineage: Eukaryota; Viridiplantae; Streptophyta; Magnoliopsida; Fabales; Fabaceae
Source: RefSeq, a predicted model, not a curated record
CAGCUCAUUUUUAAGAUUUUGAUAAUUGAUAAAUCAUGAUGUUGGGAUUUAACAUUUAGAUAUGCUUUUAUUACUAUUUAACUUUUGAGUUUGGAUUUUGAUAAGAUCAUAUGUAUUUGGUUGAUGAUA